GUGGGGAAUAUUGGACAAUGGGCGAAAGCCUGAUCCAGCCAUGCCGCGUGUGUGAAGAAGGUCUUCGGAUUGUAAAGCACUUUAAGUUGGGAGGAAGGGCAGUAAGUUAAUACCUUGCUGUUUUGACGUUACCGACAGAAUAAGCACCGGCUAACUUCGUGCCAGCAGCCGCGGUAAUACGAAGGGUGCAAGCGUUAAUCGGAAUUACUGGGCGUAAAGCGCGCGUAGGUGGUUCGUUAAGUUGGAUGUGAAAGCCCCGGGCUCAACCUGGGAACUGCAUCCAAAACUGGCGAGCUAGAGUACGGUAGAGGGUGGUGGAAUUUCCUGUGUAGCGGUGAAAUGCGUAGAUAUAGGAAGGAACACCAGUGGCGAAGGCGACCACCUGGACUGAUACUGACACUGAGGUGCGAAAGCGUGGGGAGCAAACAGGAUUAGAUACCCGUGUAGUCC
RNAcentral lists this ribosomal RNA (450 nucleotides) under uncultured bacterium. RNAcentral's name for it is "partial 16S ribosomal RNA". It matches the Rfam family "Bacterial small subunit ribosomal RNA", at positions 354 to 796 of the family's 1533-position model. The record is from RNAcentral.